AAAAUCUGUGUAGAUCAGCAAUAGAAAAGAACAAAAAAUGUAUCCAUUAUAUCAUCCAUGAAGAGAAUGUAUGUUGAGGAUUGCAGUCACAAACACUAAUAAAACUGAAAUCUUAAUGAUUCAGCUUAAUGUACCCAACCUGACGUUCCAUAAGACAAACUUUUGUACAAACUACACCUGAUAUAAACCUGGUGUUCAAGUAACACUGAUGAUUUCGAACUAUACGAAUCCGAAGGCCAUGAAUUGAGUGUGUUCUUGCACUACAAAUUGUUGAUGGCUCUGGAAUAUUUCCAGCUCCAGAACUUCAACAUCAGAUUAAAGAUGAAUCAGUGAGUUUUAGAGAGAUGAUUAACACAUCUUAAGCUGGAUUCAUGAGAAAGCUCUUUAAAUUUUUCUGAAUGAGUUAGGAACAGGAUCCAAUUAUCAAGCAAAGAG
Molecule: long non-coding RNA, 435 nt
Filed under: Olea europaea subsp. europaea
Lineage: Eukaryota; Viridiplantae; Streptophyta; Magnoliopsida; Lamiales; Oleaceae
Source: RNAcentral